Molecule: unclassified non-coding RNA, 421 nt
Filed under: soil metagenome
Description: partial contains 5.8S ribosomal RNA, internal transcribed spacer 2, and large subunit ribosomal RNA
Rfam family: 5.8S ribosomal RNA (bases 1-120)
Source: RNAcentral
GAUGAAGAACGUAGCGAAAUGCGAUACGUAAUGUGAAUUGCAGAAUUCAGUGAAUCAUCGAAUCUUUGAACGCAUAUUGCGCUCUUUGGUAUUCCGAAGAGCAUGCUUGUUUGAGUAUCAGUAAACACCUCAACCUCUUCUUGAUUUUUCAAAAGGAGGGUGGACUUGAGCUAUCCCAACAACCUUUACCGGUCGGCGGGCGGCUUGAAAUGCAGGUGCAGCUGGACUUUUAUCUGAGCUAAAAGCAUAUCUAUUUAGUCCUCGUCAAACAGGAUUAUUACUUUUGCUGCAGCUAACAUAAAAGAUAAUUGUCCUCUUUGCUGACUGAUGCAGGAUUUUACGACACUUUAUGUGUUGUUCAACUCGAUCUCAAAUCAAGUAAGACUACCCGCUGAACUUAAGCAUAUCAAUAAGCGGAGGA